GAUGAACGCUGACAGAAUGCUUAACACAUGCAAGUCGAUGGGGAAGUGGUGCUUGCACCCUGGUAACCAUGGCGGACGGGUGAGUAACGCGUAAGGAACUUACCUGCGGGACCGGGAUAACAGCAGGAAACUGCUGACAAGACCGGAUAAGGUCAUUAAGCUGCAUAGCUUAGUGAUGAAAGGAGACGCCUGCGGAGAGCCUUGCGUCCUAUUAGCUAGUUGGAGGGGUAACGGCCCACCAAGGCGAAGAUAGGUAGCCGGCCUGAGAGGGUGGACGGCCACAAGGGGACUGAGAUACGGCCCUUACUCCUACGGGAGGCAGCAGUGGGGAAUAUUGGACAAUGGGGGCAACCCUGAUCCAGCAAUUCUGUGUGCACGAAGAUGGUUUUCGGAUUGUAAAGUGCUUUCAGCAGGGAAGAAGGAAGUGACGGUACCUGCAGAAGAAGCGACGGCUAAAUACGUG
RNAcentral lists this ribosomal RNA (463 nucleotides) under uncultured bacterium. Its description in RNAcentral is "partial 16S ribosomal RNA". It matches the Rfam family "Bacterial small subunit ribosomal RNA", at positions 28 to 507 of the family's 1533-position model. The record is from RNAcentral.